AGCCUACGGGACGCAGCAGUGAGGAAUAUUGGUCAAUGGGCGCGAGCCUGAACCAGCCAAGUCGCGUGAGGGAAGACGGUCCUAUGGAUUGUAAACCUCUUUUUUUGGGGAGCAAAAGACGCCACGUGUGGCUUUCCGAGAGUACCCGAAGAAAAAGCAUCGGCUAACUCCGUGCCAGCAGCCGCGGUAAUACGGAGGAUGCGAGCGUUAUCCGGAUUUAUUGGUUUUAAAGGGUGCGCAGGCGGAAGAUCAAGUCAGCGGUAAAAUUGAGAGGCUCAACCUCUUCGAGCCGUCGAUACUGGUUU
This 305-nucleotide ribosomal RNA is filed under the name uncultured bacterium. RNAcentral describes it as "bacterial SSU rRNA". It matches the Rfam family "Bacterial small subunit ribosomal RNA", at positions 335 to 639 of the family's 1533-position model. The record is from RNAcentral.